This 573-nucleotide ribosomal RNA is filed under the name Spiranthes niklasii. RNAcentral describes it as "eukaryotic LSU rRNA". The record is from RNAcentral. Lineage: Eukaryota; Viridiplantae; Streptophyta; Magnoliopsida; Asparagales; Orchidaceae.
UCGAUCGGGGCAUCAUAAUGGGUGGAUGCAACCUAUCAAUUGGGCGCCGCGCCGCGCCAAGGAAGCGUUGUCACUAGCAUUGAUGACUAUCCGUGGGAGCUCGAAGGGCUCGUCGGUGCGUCGUUSUUGCUUCUGAAUUAUUGUAUGACUCCCGGCAAUGGAUAUCUUGGCUCUUGCAUCGAUGAAGAGCGCAGCGAAAUGCGAUACGUGGUGUGAAUUGCAGAAUCCCGUGAACCAUCGAGUUUUUGAACGCAAGUUGCGCCCGAGGCCAAUUGGCUGAGGGCACGUCCGCCUGGGCGUCAAGCAUUACAUCGCUUCAUCCCGCGCCACCUCGUAGGUGGGGUGGUUGUGCCGGGUUGAAUGUGGAGAAUGGCUCUUCGUGCAGACAUCUGUGCGGCGGGUUGAAGCGCAGAUGGCUCUCCUCUCGGCUGAUGCGUGACAAAGGGGUGGUUGGAUGCUGCCGGUUGGCCCGCAUUGUCAUGUCAUUGGCCUUGAGGAUGGCGUGCACACACAUCGAUAGUAGGUCACCCGACGGAUUCGUCGUAGGUGGCACAUCGAAAUGCGACCCCAGGA